AAUAUUCAGUGACUCAUGGCAGAGCCCUUGGGAUCUCAGCAAUCCCCGGUUUGACAGGAAGCUCUGCAGUCAUGACCUGCCUCAAGCUUCUCGUUGCUGGGAGGAAUAGAAUUACACAGAUGAACAAAUGGCUCCUUCUGUUAAAUCUUGCAACACACAUGGCCUUACCAGGGCCUGGCAAAUUAUCUGGCUGGGAGAAUCCAGAUCGAGGACUCCAAGAGUGAGUUGGUCAUCUCUGAGGUCUUCAUCGGCCAGUCAACCUUUGUGGGCAUCGUCCCUCUUGCCAUGGACACCGAGGUUUUGAACACCGCCAUUCUCACCGGAAAGCCUGUUUCGGUUCCCGUCAAAGUCGUGGGUGUUCAGGAGGAUGGUUCUGUGGUUGACGUGUCUGAG
Cebus imitator (Panamanian white-faced capuchin) is the source of this 393-nucleotide long non-coding RNA. RefSeq lists it as uncharacterized. Lineage: Eukaryota; Metazoa; Chordata; Mammalia; Primates; Cebidae. The record is from RefSeq and is a predicted model, not a curated record. The transcript has 3 exons.